UCGACGAACUCUGGUAUUGAUUGGUGCUUGCAUCAUGAUUUACAUUUGAGUGAGUGGCGAACUGGUGAGUAACACGUGGGAAACCUGCCCAGAAGCGGGGGAUAACACCUGGAAACAGAUGCUAAUACCGCAUAACAACUUGGACCGCAUGGUCCGAGCUUGAAAGAUGGCUUCGGCUAUCACUUUUGGAUGGUCCCGCGGCGUAUUAGCUAGAUGGUGGGGUAACGGCUCACCAUGGCAAUGAUACGUAGCCGACCUGAGAGGGUAAUCGGCCACAUUGGGACUGAGACACGGCCCAAACUCCUACGGGAGGCAGCAGUAGGGAAUCUUCCACAAUGGACGAAAGUCUGAUGGAGCAACGCCGCGUGAGUGAAGAAGGGUUUCGGCUCGUAAAACUCUGUUGUUAAAGAAGAACAUAUCUGAGAGUAACUGUUCAGGUAUUGACGGUAUUUAACCAGAAAGCCACGGCUAACUACGUGCCAGCAGCCGCGGUAAUACGUAGGUGGCAAGCGUUGUCCGGAUUUAUUGGGCGUAAAGCGAGCGCAGGCGGUUUUUUAAGUCUGAUGUGAAAGCCUUCGGCUCAACCGAAGAAGUGCAUCGGAAACUGGGAAACUUGAGUGCAGAAGAGGACAGUGGAACUCCAUGUGUAGCGGUGAAAUGCGUAGAUAUAUGGAAGAACACCAGUGGCGAAGGCGGCUGUCUGGUCUGUAACUGACGCUGAGGCUCGAAAGUAUGGGUAGCAAACAGGAUUAGAUACCCUGGUAGUCCAUACCGUAAACGAUGAAUGCUAAGUGUUGGAGGGUUUCCGCCCUUCAGUGCUGCAGCUAACGCAUUAAGCAUUCCGCCUGGGGAGUACGGCCGCAAGGCUGAAACUCAAAGGAAUUGACGGGGGCCCGCACAAGCGGUGGAGCAUGUGGUUUAAUUCGAAGCUACGCGAAGAACCUUACCAGGUCUUGACAUACUAUGCAAAUCUAAGAGAUUAGACGUUCCCUUCGGGGACAUGGAUACAGGUGGUGCAUGGUUGUCGUCAGCUCGUGUCGUGAGAUGUUGGGUUAAGUCCCGCAACGAGCGCAACCCUUAUUAUCAGUUGCCAGCAUUAAGUUGGGCACUCUGGUGAGACUGCCGGUGACAAACCGGAGGAAGGUGGGGAUGACGUCAAAUCAUCAUGCCCCUUAUGACCUGGGCUACACACGUGCUACAAUGGAUGGUACAACGAGUUGCGAACUCGCGAGAGUAAGCUAAUCUCUUAAAGCCAUUCUCAGUUCGGAUUGUAGGCUGCAACUCGCCUACAUGAAGUCGGAAUCGCUAGUAAUCGCGGAUCAGCAUGCCGCGGUGAAUACGUUCCCGGGCCUUGUACACACCGCCCGUCACACCAUGAGAGUUUGUAACACCCAAAGUCGGUGG
RNAcentral lists this ribosomal RNA (1404 nucleotides) under Lactiplantibacillus plantarum. RNAcentral describes it as "bacterial SSU rRNA". It matches the Rfam family "Bacterial small subunit ribosomal RNA", at positions 62 to 1433 of the family's 1533-position model. The record is from RNAcentral. Lineage: Bacteria; Bacillati; Bacillota; Bacilli; Lactobacillales; Lactobacillaceae.